Molecule: ribosomal RNA, 429 nt
Filed under: Acidobacteriota bacterium
Lineage: Bacteria; Pseudomonadati; Acidobacteriota
Description: Acidobacteria bacterium partial 16S ribosomal RNA
Rfam family: Bacterial small subunit ribosomal RNA
Source: RNAcentral
UGGGGAAUUUUGGACAAUGGGGGAAACCCUGAUCCAGCCAUCCCGCGUGUGCGAUGAAGGCCUUCGGGUUGUAAAGCACGUUUGGCAGGAAAGAAACGUCAUGGGUUAAUACCCCGUGAAACUGACGGUACCUGCAGAAUAAGCACCGGCUAACUACGUGCCAGCAGCCGCGGUAAUACGUAGGGUGCAAGCGUUAAUCGGAAUUACUGGGCGUAAAGCGUGCGCAGGCGGUUCGGAAAGAAAGAUGUGAAAUCCCAGAGCGCAACUUUGGAACUGCAUUUUUAACUACCGGGCUAGAGUGUGUCAGAGGGAGGUGGAAUUCCGCGUGUAGCAGUGAAAUGCGUAGAUAUGCGGAGGAACACCGAUGGCGAAGGCAGCCUCCUGGGAUAACACUGACGCUCAUGAACGAAAGCGUGGGGAGCAAACAGG